RNAcentral lists this ribosomal RNA (483 nucleotides) under uncultured bacterium. Its description in RNAcentral is "partial 16S ribosomal RNA". It matches the Rfam family "Bacterial small subunit ribosomal RNA", at positions 30 to 506 of the family's 1533-position model. The record is from RNAcentral.
AUUGAACGCUGGGGGCAGGCCUAACACAUGCAAGUCGAGCGGAUGAAGGGAGCUUGCUCCUGGAUUCAGCGGCGGACGGGUGAGUAAUGCCUAGGAAUCUGCCUGGUAGUGGGGGAUAACGUCCGGAAACGGGCGCUAAUACCGCAUACGUCCUGAGGGAGAAAGUGGGGGAUCUUCGGACCUCACGCUAUCAGAUGAGCCUAGGUCGGAUUAGCUAGUUGGUGGGGUAAAGGCCUACCAAGGCGACGAUCCGUAACUGGUCUGAGAGGAUGAUCAGUCACACUGGAACUGAGACACGGUCCAGACUCCUACGGGAGGCAGCAGUGGGGAAUAUUGGACAAUGGGCGAAAGCCUGAUCCAGCCAUGCCGCGUGUGUGAAGAAGGGCUUCGGAUUGUAAAGCACUUUAAGUUGGGAGGAAGGGCAGUAAGUUAAGACCUUGCUGUUUUGACGUUACCAACAGAAUAAGCACCGGCUAACUUCGU